GCGCAGGUAGACCUGUAGGGGGCAGGGGUUGACUGUAAAUCAAUUGCCCACCGGGCCCCGUGAGUUCGACUCUCACCCUGCGCACCA
RNAcentral lists this transfer RNA (87 nucleotides) under Candidatus Jorgensenbacteria bacterium CG_4_10_14_0_8_um_filter_39_13. RNAcentral describes it as "tRNA-Tyr". It matches the Rfam family "tRNA". From Rfam's summary of the family: Transfer RNA (tRNA) molecules are approximately 80 nucleotides in length. Their secondary structure includes four short double-helical elements and three loops (D, anti-codon, and T loops). The record is from RNAcentral. Lineage: Bacteria; Candidatus Joergenseniibacteriota. RNAcentral also lists the same sequence under 4 other names.